GACGAACGCUGGCGGCGCGCCUAACACAUGCAAGUCGAGCGAUGAAGACAUAACCGACGCCUUCGGGAAGAAGUUGAGUUGGAUUAGCGGCGGACGGGUGAGUAACACGUGAGUAACCUGCCUUACACAAGGGGAUAGCCGUUGGAAACGACGAAUAAUACCCUAUAAAGCAAAGCUGUCGCAUGAUAGCCUUGCCAAAGUGCUUAGUGGCGUAAGAUGGACUUGCGUCUGAUUAGCUAGUUGGUGAGAUAAAAGCCCACCAAGGCAACGAUCAGUAGCCGGCUUGAGAGAGUGUACGGCCACAUUGGGACUGAGACACGGCCCAA
Molecule: ribosomal RNA, 326 nt
Filed under: uncultured bacterium
Lineage: Bacteria
Description: bacterial SSU rRNA
Rfam family: Bacterial small subunit ribosomal RNA
Source: RNAcentral